UACGUAGGGUGCAAGCGUUUGUCCGGAAUUAUUGGGCGUAAAGAGCUCGUAGGCGGUUUGUCGCGUCUGCUGUGAAAACCCGAGGCUCAACCUCGGGCCUGCAGUGGGUACGGGCAGACUAGAGUGCGGUAGGGGAGAUUGGAAUUCCUGGUGUAGCGGUGGAAUGCGCAGAUAGUCAGGAGGAACACCAAUGGCGAAGGCAGAUCUCUGGGCCGUAACUGACGCUGAGGAGCGAAAGCAUGGGGAGCGAACAGG
RNAcentral lists this ribosomal RNA (255 nucleotides) under uncultured bacterium. RNAcentral describes it as "partial 16S ribosomal RNA". It matches the Rfam family "Bacterial small subunit ribosomal RNA", at positions 524 to 776 of the family's 1533-position model. The record is from RNAcentral.